This 445-nucleotide ribosomal RNA is filed under the name uncultured bacterium. RNAcentral describes it as "partial 16S ribosomal RNA". It matches the Rfam family "Bacterial small subunit ribosomal RNA", at positions 354 to 796 of the family's 1533-position model. The record is from RNAcentral.
GUGAGGAAUAUUGAACAAUGGGCGCAAGCCUGAUCCAGCCAUGCCGCGUGCAGGAAGACGCAUCUAUGGUGUGUAAACUGCUUUUGUACGGGAAGAAACACUCCCUCGUGAGGGAGCUUGACGGUACCGUAAGAAUAAGGAUCGGCUAACUCCGUGCCAGCAGCCGCGGUAAUACGGAGGAUCCAAGCGUUAUCCGGAAUCAUUGGGUUUAAAGGGUCCGUAGGCGGUUUAAUAAGUCAGUGGUGAAAGCCCAUCGCUCAACGAUGGAACGGCCAUUGAUACUGUUAGACUUGAAUUACAAGGAAGUAACUAGAAUAUGUAGUGUAGCGGUGAAAUGCUUAGAUAUUACAUGGAAUACCAAUUGCGAAGGCAGGUUACUACUUGUGGAUUGACGCUGAUGGACGAAAGCGUGGGGAGCGAACAGGAUUAGAAACCCGUGUAGUCC